AGUGAACGCUGGCGGUAGGCCUAACACAUGCAAGUCGAACGGCAGCACCGUAAGAGCUUGCUCUUACGGGUUGCGAGUGGCGGACGGGUGAGGAAUACAUCGGAAUCUACUUUUUCGUGGGGGAUAACGUAGGGAAACUUACGCUAAUACCGCAUACGACCUACGGGUGAAAGCAGGGGAUCUUCGGACCUUGCGCGAUUGAAUGAGCGGAUGUCGGAUUAGCUAGUUGGCGGGGUAAAGGCCCACCAAGGCGACGAUCCGUAGCUGGUCUGAGAGGAUGAUCAGCCACACUGGAACUGAGACACGGUCCAGACUCCUACGGGAGGCAGCAGUGGGGAAUAUUGGACAAUGGGCGCAAGCCUGAUCCAGCCAUACCGCGUGGGUGAAGAAGGCCUUCGGGUUGUAAAGCCCUUUUGUUGGGAAAGAAAAGCAGCAGGUUAAUACCCCGCUGUUCUGACGGUACCCAAAGAAUAAGCACCGGCUAACUUCGUG
This 492-nucleotide ribosomal RNA is filed under the name uncultured bacterium. RNAcentral describes it as "partial 16S ribosomal RNA". It matches the Rfam family "Bacterial small subunit ribosomal RNA", at positions 29 to 507 of the family's 1533-position model. The record is from RNAcentral.